Molecule: transfer RNA, 73 nt
Filed under: Anaplasma phagocytophilum
Lineage: Bacteria; Pseudomonadati; Pseudomonadota; Alphaproteobacteria; Rickettsiales; Anaplasmataceae
Rfam family: tRNA
About the family: Transfer RNA (tRNA) molecules are approximately 80 nucleotides in length. Their secondary structure includes four short double-helical elements and three loops (D, anti-codon, and T loops). Further hydrogen bonds mediate the characteristic L-shaped molecular structure. tRNAs have two regions of fundamental functional importance: the anti-codon, which is responsible for specific mRNA codon recognition, and the 3' end, to which the tRNAs corresponding amino acid is attached (by aminoacyl-tRNA synthetases). tRNAs cope with the degeneracy of the genetic code in two manners: having more than one tRNA (with a specific anti-codon) for a particular amino acid; and 'wobble' base-pairing, i.e. permitting non-standard base-pairing at the 3rd anti-codon position.
Source: Rfam by way of RNAcentral
GGGUCUGUAGCUCAGUGGUUAGAGCGCACGCCUGAUAAGCGUGAGGUCGGAGGUUCGACUCUUCCCAGGCCCA